UGGGAAUCUUGCGCAAUGGGCGAAAGCCUGACGCAGCCAUGCCGCGUGAAUGAUGAAGGUCUUAGGAUUGUAAAUUCUUUCACCGGGGACGAUAAUGACGGUACCCGGAGAAGAAGCCCCGGCUAACUUCGUGCCAGCAGCCGCGGUAAUACGAAGGGGGCUAGCGUUGCUCGGAAUUACUGGGCGUAAAGGGAGCGUAGGCGGACAUUUAGGUCAGGGGUGAAAUCCCGGGGCUCAACCUCGGAAUUGCCUUUGAUACUGGGUGUCUUGAGUGUGAGAGAGGUAUGUGGAACUCCGAGUGUAGAGGUGAAAUUCGUAGAUAUUCGGAAGAACACCAGUGGCGAAGGCGACAUACUGGCUCAUUACUGACGCUGAGGCUCGAAAGCGUGGGGAGCAAACAGGAUUAGAUACCCUGGUAGUCCACGCCGUAAACGAUGAUUGCUAGUUGUCGGGAUGCAUGCAUUUCGGUGACGCAGCUAGCGUAUAGCAAUCCGCCUGGGGAGUACGGUCGCAAGAUUAAAACUCAAAUGAAUUGACGGGGUCAUAGCUGUUUCCUG
RNAcentral lists this ribosomal RNA (557 nucleotides) under uncultured bacterium. RNAcentral describes it as "partial 16S ribosomal RNA". It matches the Rfam family "Bacterial small subunit ribosomal RNA", at positions 356 to 1376 of the family's 1533-position model. The record is from RNAcentral.